Molecule: ribosomal RNA, 253 nt
Filed under: uncultured bacterium
Lineage: Bacteria
Description: partial 16S ribosomal RNA
Rfam family: Bacterial small subunit ribosomal RNA
Source: RNAcentral
UACGUAGGGCGCAAGCGUUGUCCGGAAUUAUUGGGCGUAAAGAGCUCGUAGGCGGCUUGUCACGUCGGAUGUGAAAGCCCGGGGCUUAACCCCGGGUCUGCAUUCGAUACGGGCAGGCUAGAGUUCGGUAGGGGAGAUCGGAAUUCCUGGUGUAGCAGUGAAAUGCGUAGAUAUCAAGUGGAACACCAGUGGCGAAGGCGAGUCCCUGGAAAACUCCUGACACUGAGGCACGAAAGCUAGGGGAGCAAACAGG